UUAUUUUAAUUAAGAUAAAAGCUAUAAAUUCCAUUUAUUAUUUCAGCAAAUUUCAGUAAUACUAUUUCAUCUGGAAAUGUACCAAUUAAUUGAUUCAGUAACUAUUUUAUUUUUUCUAUUAGAAAAAUAUAAGAACUAGGCUGGAAUACUAUUAAUAGCACAAAGUCAUUGGUGCUAUUACAUUAAAAAAUGUGCGGUUGGAAUUAUGUGAGCCCUCUAGAGUUGAGUGGGUGGUUAGUUGAAUAGUAUAAUCGAACGAAUGAAAAUAAUAAAAUAGGUAAAUCUAACGGCAGAAAACUUGAUAGCACCAAAUGCUUCGUGCUAUCGAUUGUAUCCCAGCCGGACUCAAAAUAUAAUGUAUAUUUAACGAAGUGAU
This 376-nucleotide long non-coding RNA is filed under the name Ananas comosus (pineapple). RNAcentral's name for it is "long non-coding RNA (ACOM_LNC007823)". Lineage: Eukaryota; Viridiplantae; Streptophyta; Magnoliopsida; Poales; Bromeliaceae. The record is from RNAcentral.